Molecule: transfer RNA, 72 nt
Filed under: Camelus bactrianus (Bactrian camel)
Lineage: Eukaryota; Metazoa; Chordata; Mammalia; Artiodactyla; Camelidae
Also listed under: 2 other names
Rfam family: tRNA
About the family: Transfer RNA (tRNA) molecules are approximately 80 nucleotides in length. Their secondary structure includes four short double-helical elements and three loops (D, anti-codon, and T loops).
Source: Rfam by way of RNAcentral
GAAGGUAUAGCUCAGUGGUAGCGUGCAUGUUUUGCAUGCAUGAGGCCCUGGGUUCAAUCCCCAGUACCUCCA